UUAGGUGAAAACUAUUAUGCUCAAUAUCAAAAUGAUAUAUAUUUAAAUAAAUUCACAAAUAAACUAUUAAUAAGACUCAACCCCUUAAUGAAAUAUAACCUUAUACAGGCUGGGAUGGAUUUACUGGGGGGUGCACCCCCCCCCCUAGCCCUGGCCAGAGGGGGUGCAGAGGGGGGUGCUAUUUUUUAUGAUAAAGCAAAAAAGACAAAAUGAGAUACAGUAAUUUGAGUAAUAACAUGAGGAUAAAUGAACUGUGAACAACAAUUACAAUUCAAAUACGGGAGUUGAUGGUCGGGUGGCACACAUGACCGACACAACUCGGCAGUCGGCACGAGAGCACACCCCCCCCCCCCUACCAGAUCAUGCUGGAUCCAUCCCUGACCUUAUAUGCUGUUAAAUAGAGUAAUAUAAUGAAAGGGCAGUAGGCAAGUAGGGCACAUUGAAGUUUUGUACUGUAAUGCUCCUCAAAAUGUAAGACAGUAAAGCUGGAUGAAUGUAAAAUAUCACAUUUAUUACCAUUUAGACUGCAAAUGGUAAUGUAAAUUAGCUG
Non-coding RNA from Paramuricea clavata, 550 nucleotides. NCBI's taxonomy places the organism in Eukaryota, Metazoa, Cnidaria, Anthozoa, Malacalcyonacea, Plexauridae. The record is from the annotation of a GenBank genome assembly.